AGAACGAACGCUGGCGGCAGGCUUAACACAUGCAAGUCGAACGCUCGUAGCAAUACGGGAGUGGCAGACGGGUGAGUAACGCGUGGGAACAUACCCUCCGGUUCGGAAUAGCUCAGGGAAACUUGGAUUAAUACCGGAUACGGCCGGGAGGCGAAAGAUUUAUCGCCGGAGGAUUGGCCCGCGUUCGAUUAGCUAGUUGGUGAGGUAAUGGCUCACCAAGGCGAUGAUCGAUAGCUGGUCUGAGAGGAUGAUCAGCCACAUUGGGACUGAGACACGGCCCAAACUCCUACGGGAGGCAGCAGUGGGGAAUAUUGGACAAUGGGCGCAAGCCUGAUCCAGCCAUGCCGCGUGAGUGAUGAAGGCCUUAGGGUUGUAAAGCUCUUUCGCUCGGGACGAUAAUGACGGUACCGAGAUAAGAGCCCCGGCUAACUUCGCGCCAGCAGCCGC
RNAcentral lists this ribosomal RNA (447 nucleotides) under uncultured bacterium. RNAcentral describes it as "SSU rRNA". It matches the Rfam family "Bacterial small subunit ribosomal RNA", at positions 26 to 518 of the family's 1533-position model. The record is from RNAcentral.